This 456-nucleotide ribosomal RNA is filed under the name uncultured bacterium. RNAcentral describes it as "bacterial SSU rRNA". It matches the Rfam family "Bacterial small subunit ribosomal RNA", at positions 340 to 786 of the family's 1533-position model. The record is from RNAcentral.
UACGGAAGGCAGCAGUGGGGAAUAUUGCACAAUGGGCGAAAGCCUGAUGCAGCUAUGCCGCGUGUAUGAAGAAGGCCUUAGGGUUGUAAAGUACUUUCAUCGGGGAGGAAAAACAAAACUAAUAAUUUUAUUUCUUGACGUUACCCGAAAAAGAAGCACCGGCUAACUCCGUGCCAGCAGCCGCGGUAAUACGGAGGGUGCUAGCGUUAAUCAGAAUUACUGGGCGUAAAGAGCACGUAGGUGGUUUUUUUAAAGUCAGAUGUGAAAUCCCUGGGCUUAACCUAGGAACUGCAUUUUGAAACUGAAAUACUAGAGUAUCGUAGAGGGAGGUAGAAUUCUAGGUGUAGCGGUGAAAUGCGUAGAUAUCUGAAGGAAUACCUGUGGCGAAAGCGGCCUCCUAAACGAAUACUGACACUGAGGUGCGAAAGCGUGGGGAGCAAACAGGGAUUAGAUACC